Molecule: unclassified non-coding RNA, 310 nt
Filed under: plant metagenome
Description: partial contains 5.8S ribosomal RNA, internal transcribed spacer 2, and large subunit ribosomal RNA
Rfam family: 5.8S ribosomal RNA (bases 1-105)
Source: RNAcentral
GAAAUGCGAUAAGUAGUGUGAAUUGCAGAAUUCAGUGAAUCAUCGAAUCUUUGAACGCACAUUGCGCCCCUUGGUAUUCCAUGGGGUAUGCCUGUUCGAGCGUCAUUUGUACCCUCAAGCUCUGCUUGGUGUUGGGUGUUUGUCCCCGUCUCCGCGCGUGGACUCGCCCCAAAGUGAUUGGCAGCCGGCGUACUGGUCCCGGAGCGCAGCACAUGUCGCGCAAACGAGUGCCUUGGUACGGCGGCGUCCAUAAGCCCCUCUCUCACGCUCUUGACCUCGGAUCAGGUAGGGAUACCCGCUGAACUUAAGC